This 253-nucleotide ribosomal RNA is filed under the name uncultured bacterium. Its description in RNAcentral is "partial 16S ribosomal RNA". It matches the Rfam family "Bacterial small subunit ribosomal RNA", at positions 524 to 776 of the family's 1533-position model. The record is from RNAcentral.
UACAGAGGUCUCAAGCGUUGUUCGGAAUCACUGGGCGUAAAGCGCGUGUAGGCGGCCUCCUCAGUCUGGUGUGAAAGCCCGGGGCUCAACCCCGGAAGUGCAUUGGAUACUGGGAGGCUGGAGUACCGGAGAGGAGGGUGGAAUUCCUGGUGUAGCGGUGAAAUGCAUAGAUAUCAGGAGGAACACCGGUGGCGAAGGCGGCCCUCUGGACGGAUACUGACGCUGAGACGCGACAGCGUGGGGAGCAAACAGG